Long non-coding RNA from Galeopterus variegatus (Sunda flying lemur), 631 nucleotides. RefSeq lists it as uncharacterized. The record is from RefSeq and is a predicted model, not a curated record. The transcript has 3 exons. NCBI's taxonomy places the organism in Eukaryota, Metazoa, Chordata, Mammalia, Dermoptera, Cynocephalidae.
GUAAUGGCUCCAUUGCUGUUGAAACGUCUGACGCGGUGGCUGGGCCUGUGGCUGACGCCUGGACCUGGGAAGUUCCCGCUCCUGCGUUUUCUGCUCACCCAGCAUGUCUAUCAAGAAGAUGGUGAUUGAAAAAUCUGUGACAAUGUCAACAAGGAUUUCCUGGAGGAUUCUGCCCUGGACACCCCAGUGAAGGUUCCCUAAGGUCAUCGCCUGCCUUAUUGCUAUAUUCAGUGGACACUUUCCAGCCCUCGGGCCUAACAGCAUUUGCACUGAGUGUCUGCUCUGAAGUGUCCCUUCUUUCCCUUGGCUCUUAUGAUCUCCCUCCCACACCCCCCCUCUGCUCCUCCUCCUCAGUCUGUCCCUUAAAUGUUGAUAUCCCCCACAGUAGUGUUUCAAGUUCUUUCCUGGUUCGGAUGGUUGGAUUCACUUACCAGCUGUCCUCAUGUUUAACUUUUCCAAAAUGGAACUAGUCACUAUGCUGUCUAGACCCUCAGCUGUGGGUGCAGCAGGCAGCUCAUCACCAAUGUCAGAAACUUAGCACUGCCCUUAAUCACCUUUCCUCUCACCUCAGAUAUAAUUGGUCACUAAAUCAUAUCAAUUCCAGCCCUUUAAUGUCAUGUUCAUUGUCAGG